AAGGAUAUUUCUCGGUACUUCUCCAAAAUAUAUUAAUCAAGAGUCUUCACAUUCUCCCUCUUUCUGUUUGAUCUGGGUGUUCAAAAUUUCCUCCCACAAUCGAAAGAAAUGAAAAUUAAGUUGGACUGGUAAAAAUCAAGUCUGCCUUGACUCAACUACAGAAACCAUCUGCAUCGAACAAUUGUUUCCACUUAACCUGACCAGUGGUCUAGCUAGUGAAACCGCAAACUUCACUCUGGGUAUUCAAAUAAAUUAACCAAUGUAACAUCUGGACAUUAACUUGGGUUGUAAAAAUCCACCUGGAGCAGUCUGCUAAAUUAGGGACCUCACAAGGGCAACAGGUCAGAAGUACUCAUGGGUCACAUUUUCAAAAAACAUGGAUUUAAUCGAUGAAAGCU
Polypterus senegalus (gray bichir) is the source of this 398-nucleotide long non-coding RNA. RefSeq lists it as uncharacterized. The record is from RefSeq and is a predicted model, not a curated record. Lineage: Eukaryota; Metazoa; Chordata; Cladistia; Polypteriformes; Polypteridae. The transcript is spliced from 3 exons.